GCCCGGCUCCGCCCCUGGCCUGGGCCCUCGCUCCUGCCUCACGGAAACGCGGGCCGUGUCGCCUCCCACCUCAUGCUCGGUUUACUGUCCCGUGCCAUGGGCGAGGUCCUGCGCCUCCGGACCCAGAAAUGGGCAUUCCUUCAGCACGCACGGUCAAACGCCUACUGUGAGCAAGGGACGCGAGUGAGGGCGCCCGGCCGGGGCCAAGGAGCCGACGUUCGGUGGACACUUCGAACGGUGCUCCCUAGUCGGGGCCGGUUUACAGUGGGCCAGCUUAUCGAGCCCUCCCUCGUGCAGAGGCCCUGAGGACCGUGCGUACACCUGCUGUGCGCCAGCUCGCGCCGUGCGUCCGGGGAGGAGAAACACUGAGCUUGACCCCCAGGAGCGCCUGUUCUCCCGAGGGAGAGAACAGUACACUGAUGAGAAUGACUCAGAGUCACGCUGUAAGAUUCGGAUCCCUCUGGCUGUUUGUGGGGCAUGGAUUUAGGGACCGCACGGAGGCAGGAGACCACGGAGAAGGUGACUGCAGUCGUCCAGAGGAAAUGGAGGGUCAGACCAGGGUGACCGUGGAGGUGCGAGAAGUAGUCGAUUCUGGAUGUGUUUUGAAGGAGUGUAGGUAUGAUGGCAGCGCUAGAGCAGCCAGCUUGGACCGUGAGAUGGAAACUGCUGGUUGAAGAUGGAAGAACUGUAAGAUAGGAAGAGUCUGGGUCCCUGACACCAUCAAGCCACCAUCCAAAACGGGGCUGCUUUCAUCCAGCCUUUCUUAUAUCACUGAACCUGUAUCCCACCAAUGCGUUUAUUAAAUGAAUCACUGGAUGUUUGAAUGACAAAAGGAGCAGUCAGAGCCAGACCCCACACACAUAUAAAAAUGCACCAAGACGAAACUCGAGCCUGGGUUGGAAGCAUAGUCCAAGUGCAGUGGAAAAAUUCAUGGCUGGAGGAGCCAGCUCCGGACUGUUCCUUCUGCUAGCUUGCUGUAUUCCCCUGGAUAACCCACCUGCUCUCUCUGGUCCCAACACUCCUCAGUUGUAAACCAGGCUUAGCAAGUUCAUGGAAUCCAUGCGGUUAUGCAAUUUAAAGAUGUUCGUUGUUCUUUAAAAUUCCACUUCUAGGAAUCCAUUCCCAGAGAAAUUCCCACUUCAUAGUCCACGAACACAGGUGCAAGGAUGUAGCAUGUUUGCGGAGCAAAAACUUGGCAAUACCCUGAAAGGUGAUUAAAUAAACUAGGAAGCUUUCAUGCUCUGGAGCGCUCGACUGCUGACUGCGGCCACGAGGAAUUCUCUGGUGACACCUGCUGGCACAAAAUGAUACUGCAGCCCAGCAGCUAGGCAUUGGGAAUUUCCCGGACAAGAGAGGUUCCAGGCAGCUGUGAGGGUAGUUUGGGAGGCCAUAGAGCAGGGAGAGAUUUGGAAGGAAGGCUCAGGCAUGGAGGUUGGCCUGGGUGUGGAGGCUGAGAACAAUGGUCUGGAUUUGAAGUCCAGCUUCACUACUUCCUAGUUGGGUGAACUUGGCACUUCCUCUGAGCCCCUCUACUUCUAUAAAAUGAGACUCCUGGGGUCCAAGUCAUAGAUGUCUGGAGAGGAUUCCAUGAGAGAAUGCACUCAUUUGAUUAUUUGUUGAACCCACAUGGAGCUCCUAUGAAGCCGGUGAUCGACUGCACUAAUCUAGGCGCUAAGGAUAUAUCAGGACCCGGAUCCUGCCCUCGCGGAGCUUCCAGUCCAGGGAGUGAAGGCAGUAAAGAAGUAAAUAUGCAGAUAAGAUCAUUUCCGGUAUUGAUGACACUCUACAGGAAAGUGAAGCGGGAGCUGGCUCUGUGCGUGUGGAGGCGUUGUGAUAACUUGGUGCUUGGGCAAGGCGUCUCUGAGGGGAUUGGAGCAGAGGCCUGAAGGAGUUGUGUCUUGUGUAUAUAGAGUGCACAUAUUAAUAAAAUGCCAGUGAAGAACCCGGCUCAUAGUAAAUGCACAAUAAACGGCGGAUCAGCCUCGUCACACAAAGGAAAGGAAGUCCAGGGGUGAUUGGACCUAUUUCCCAGGGUCUGAUACAGUCAUGGAGAGUAAGAGACGUUUCCUCGGGGCCUGGUGGGUGGAGAAGCCGCUGCUGGACCUGAGCAGACCCAGCUCUGGGAGGUCUUGGGCAAAGUACUGUCUGGGCCUUCAUUUCCUCAUUUGGAAAACAGGGUGAUAAUGCUCCCCUUGUGAGAGUGGGGGAUGUCAUGGGCUGAAUAUGUCCCCCCCGCAAUUCAUGUAUUGAAGUCCUGACCCCCGGUAUCUCAGAAUGUGAAUGUAUUUGGAGAUAGGGUCUUUAAAGAGAUCGUUAAGCUAGAACGAGGUCAUUAGAGUAAACCCUAAGUCCAUAUGACUGGUGUCCUUAUAAGAGAUUAGGACACAGACAUAUACAGAGGGGACGACCAGUUCUGAGAUCACUGAGGUGACUGCAGUGUGGCCCACAUGGUAUCUCGGGAUUGGCCCUGCCUUGGGGGACCCAGCUUACUUAAUUUCUGCUCGCCCCUCUGGUUCAUUACUCAGCCAUUCCACAACUUCAUGUGGUACCGCUGUGACCAUUCUGUAAAUUGUGGUGUGGCUGGUAUACCAGCGAGGGUCCAGUCUGGAGAACGGAGACCACGCUAGGAACUUCAGACAGGAGGAAUGGAGUACAGGGAAUUGCGUAUACAAGUAAUGGAAGAGCUGAGAUGCCAAAGGGUGAGAUGAGGCACCCCAGGAUGAGCUAAGGCCAAAGAGGCAGAAGGAGGAUAUUGUAUCACGAGUCCUAGCGGCCAGGGCUAGAACCCUAGUGGGAUCUACCUGGUGGGAACUGGGCCCAGGCAAAAAGGGCCUAUUAGGCAUGGCCUGGUGGUCUUUGCCCUCAGAUCGGUUUCCUGCCCCUCCCCUGCUCUACUCUGAAUUACAGAGGGGCUGCCCUCUGCAAGCUGCAUUUCCCAGGUCAGCUGACUUCCUGGUGGCCAAUGGGAGGUCCUGGUGACAGACCGGAGGCCAGGAGGAGAGAAGCCAGAGUAUUUCUCCUUCUCUUUACACCUGGGGCUGCAUCUCCAUCAAUGACUGAGUCUCCUCCGUGGAUCCAGACCCCGCGAGAUAGUCCACGGUGCUUCUAGCUUUGUUGAGUGACCGUAGGCCCCAGGUUACUGUAACGUUACCUCCUCCCUCGGUCCCUCCAGCUUAGAGGUGCCAACGGCUUUCUGUUGCUGCACAUCUCUGAGCUUCUUUGCAGUCUUUUGCUUGGCUUCUGGGUUGCCUCCAUCACCUCUGCAAACACCUCCCUGUUGGAAAGCCUCUCUGUUUAAAUGCUUAGUGGUUUCCUGGUUAAAUAGUAAUUGAUAUGAGGAAAGGAUAUGAGAGCAAAUUGGCAAGUGGCCAGCCCAGCAGGCCUCUCCAGUCCUUUACUCCUUCUUAUAAAUAAAAACCUAGCAGCCUGCAGAUGGGGAGAGGCAGCUGGGUGCUGGGGAUCAGGAGGUGGCCCUACAGCCAGACAGGCCUCAUUUUGUUCUCUCUCUGCCACUUGGCAGCUCUGUAAACUUCAUCAAGGUACGUCCCCUCUGAGGCCUCAGUUUCCUUACCUGUCAUGUGGGGAUAAGGAUCACAUCCAUCGAUACAGGGCUGUCCUGCGGACUUGAUGAGAUGCGGCAGGGAAAGA
This is a long non-coding RNA of Hipposideros armiger (great roundleaf bat), 3648 nucleotides long. RefSeq lists it as uncharacterized. The transcript has 3 exons. The record is from RefSeq and is a predicted model, not a curated record. NCBI's taxonomy places the organism in Eukaryota, Metazoa, Chordata, Mammalia, Chiroptera, Hipposideridae.